Molecule: non-coding RNA, 1537 nt
Organism: Benincasa hispida (wax gourd)
Lineage: Eukaryota; Viridiplantae; Streptophyta; Magnoliopsida; Cucurbitales; Cucurbitaceae
Source: RefSeq, a predicted model, not a curated record
GGUGGGUUUUAAACCCUUCGUUUUACCCCCUCAUUUCACGCCCCAGGUGCAUUAUUUUGCCUCGUCUCUCUUCUAUCACACAUAAUUAGUCACCACUCUCUCUCUUCUCAUCUUCUCCUUUCUUCUGUCGUUUGGUUUCUCUUUUUCGUCUAGUCUUUUCGUUCUCUGGUCUAUUCGUUCUCCCUCCAACUGGAAUGGGCUGUAUGUCUCUUCGUUUCUCUGGCUGGAAUGAGUUGUAUUUCUCUUCAUCUCUUCAUUCUCUACUCUGGUUCCUCCAUGCAUUUUUUUUUGUUUCUCUAUUUUCUCUUGCCACUUCAAUAUUAAAUCAUGUGUCCUUCCCUUGCCCUUUUUCUUAUGCUUCCAUGUAAAUUAAAGGCAAGUUAACUCCUAGUAGAGAAUGUAAACUGUGUUAUUGGAGCUUGGUGGGGGUCAAUACACCCAAGAACAGGUUUGUUUUCUAUUUUUUUUUUUCCUGAAGGUCGAUGAUGAUUUCAAACUGUUUUUUAGAUUAAAAAAAAGGGUAUACAUCUCUGUUUUUCCUAAUCUUUUGAAUGAUUUUUUUUUUUUUUAUUUCCUUUAAAUUUGUUUUCCCUAAUCUUUUGAGUAUGAUUUAUGUUUUAGUUUUAUUUCCUUUCAAUUUGUUUUGUGAGUGAAUGUAUUUUUUUGCUUCAUUCCAUUAAAUUUAUUUCCAACAUUCAAACGAAUUUAACUUUUGUACAUUUAAAAUUGACUUCAAUUUUGGAAUUGUUGAAAAUGUUUAUUUUGUUUUCUUGGAGUUGGAUUUGUUCCAAUCAAAUGGCUUUUCGAAAUCUUGAGGCUUUCUAAUUUGUAUGAUAUAUUAUGUUGUAUUCAUGUCAUUUUUUAGCCCAACCACCAAAUUAAUAGUGACCUGACCAUUACUUAAUUUAUUUAUUUUUGACUUGACUGUCUUUAAUAUGGGUUUACUGUUUGAAUUUAUUGAGUUAGGUACACUUAAGUUUACCUAACCUUCCUCACAAACUCUACUUAUUGUAUUCUCUACUUAUAUCCCAAUUUGUCCCCAUUUCCUUUGUAAACUGUGUUGGUAAGUCCCUCAACCUUCCUUUUAAUUGCAACUUUCUCUUAAAUCUAUUUUCCAUCCUAGUAUGUGUUGUUUGACUAUUGCAAUAUACUUUGUUUCCUUCUUCCACCUCUAACCUCAACUUAUUCUAUCCAUAUAAGGUAUGUUUCCUUCUUUCCUUAUAAUCGAAUUAAGAUAUGUCGCUAACAUUUUCUUGUUUUUGUUAGGCCGUCAAUUGAUUAUUUUACCCCCUAGUUUUGGACUGUCUUCACCAUCGCUCACUUCGAACAUAAACAAAGGGCCCAAACUAAUCGAACAUACCUCUCGUAACUAGUUUGAGGUUCGUAAGUUUUAAGUUCGGAAUGAUCUUAGUUACUAUCUAUUCUUUCUUUCUUCUACUUGUUGAGGACUGUUUACUUCAAAUGUAUCAUGAUUAUGUAUUUUGGAAUUGUAUGUUAGACAUUUUCCCACAUUUUCUCCCUUGUGAGAAUAUGAGAU